This 64-nucleotide transfer RNA is filed under the name Haplorchis taichui. RNAcentral's name for it is "tRNA-Met". The record is from RNAcentral. Lineage: Eukaryota; Metazoa; Platyhelminthes; Trematoda; Opisthorchiida; Heterophyidae.
GGCGGGAUAAGUUAAGUGGGAAACUCUAUGGUUCAUGUUCAUAAAAUGCGUGUAGCUCCUGCCU